GUCACGGGAUCGUUAGUAGGAAUCAUAGUAUCGCCUCUUUUCCGCCUAGCGACUGCCGCCCUGCGUUGCGAGAAGACCUACGUGCGUUGACCCGGUCCUUUCGGUUCCGGAUUCCUCAGCCCCCAGCCCCCCGGGGUCGAUGGGAUCGGGUCGGUACGCACUGCAAGGAGAGGGCCAACGCGAGUUGGUCCUUUU
Non-coding RNA from Bradyrhizobium sp. NAS80.1, 195 nucleotides. The record is from Rfam. NCBI's taxonomy places the organism in Bacteria, Pseudomonadati, Pseudomonadota, Alphaproteobacteria, Hyphomicrobiales, Nitrobacteraceae.